RNAcentral lists this small RNA (137 nucleotides) under Klebsiella sp. RNAcentral describes it as "partial RtT sRNA". It matches the Rfam family "RtT RNA", at positions 27 to 130 of the family's 130-position model. Rfam says of the family: This family represents a bacterial cis-regulatory element known as RtT RNA. The exact function of RtT is unknown although it is thought that it may be involved in changing the cellular response in relation to amino acid starvation. RNAcentral also lists the same sequence under 1 other name. The record is from RNAcentral. Lineage: Bacteria; Pseudomonadati; Pseudomonadota; Gammaproteobacteria; Enterobacterales; Enterobacteriaceae.
AAUCAAUUGGUCGCAGGUUCGAAUCCUGCACGACCCACCAAUUUAACAUCAAACUCAGAUGUUAAGCGUGAAGGAUAACGUUGCGUCAGCAACGGCCCGUAGGGCGAGCGAAGCGACUCAUCCUGCACGACCCACCA